RNAcentral lists this ribosomal RNA (684 nucleotides) under Lepidosaphes beckii. RNAcentral's name for it is "partial large subunit ribosomal RNA". It matches the Rfam family "Eukaryotic large subunit ribosomal RNA", at positions 437 to 961 of the family's 3401-position model. The record is from RNAcentral. Lineage: Eukaryota; Metazoa; Arthropoda; Insecta; Hemiptera; Diaspididae.
CAGAAUGACUGGCUGGACUUGUGCUUGUCCGGUCAUUUGAUAUUUUCGCCGCUAUAACAGACGUCGCGAUCUGUUUGUUGUCGGUCCCUGCUCGGAGGAGUUGCAAUCGAGCUUGUUGUAGGCGCGUUUCGGCGUGUCAUACGGCAAAGAUGCAAAUCUCUGGCUGACAACGGACAGUAAGAAAAGGUUGCCGAUGCCGUGUUACGUGCACGGUGUUGGUACCGAUCAGCGACGAUCUCUUCGGGCCUCUUUCCGACCCGUCUUGAAACACGGACCAAGGAGUCUAACAUACGCGCGAGUCGCGGGGUGUCGAGUGUACUACGGUGCGCUCGUUCAUCGUGAAACCCGUCUGUUGAAGGCGUAAUGAAAGUGAAUAGGGAAGAUGGUGUUCCGAGUAUACUUACCGUGAAAUUUUGCGGCCGGACACCCGCAUUCCCGGGGCGUCUCAAUGGCUCAUCGUAGAUGCAGAUUGUCGCCUCUCGGGGCGAUAGUCGGUCCGCGAUGGUCCGAGGCGCACCUAUAGCGUGUACGUUGGUACCCGAAAGAUGGUGAACUAUGCCUGGCCAGGAUGAAGUCAGGGGAAACCCUGAUGGAGGUCCGCAGCGAUUCUGACGUGCAAAUCGAUCGUCUGAGCUGGGUAUAGGGGCGAAAGACUAAUCGAACCAUCUAGUAGCUGGUUCCCUU